Molecule: ribosomal RNA, 258 nt
Filed under: uncultured bacterium
Lineage: Bacteria
Description: partial 16S ribosomal RNA
Rfam family: Bacterial small subunit ribosomal RNA
Source: RNAcentral
UACGGGGGAGGCAAGCGUUGUUCGGAUUUACUGGGCGUUAAAGGGCGUGUAGGUGGUAGUGUAAGUCUGGCGUGAAAUUUUUCGGCUUAACCGGGAAAGGUCGUCGGAUACUGCACAACUGAGAGGACGGUAGAGGCGUGUGGAAGUUCCGGGUGUAGUGGUGAAAUGCGUAGAGAAUCCGGAGGAACACCCGUGGCUAAGGCGGCUCUCUAGUACGGUACUGGACGCUGAGACGCGAAAGCGUGGGGAGCAAACAGG